Molecule: ribosomal RNA, 1602 nt
Filed under: human metagenome
Description: bacterial LSU rRNA
Rfam family: Bacterial large subunit ribosomal RNA
Source: RNAcentral
GGGUAGGGGUGAAAGGCUAAUCAAGCUGGGAAAUAGCUCGUACUCCCCGAAAUGCCUUUUGGGGCAGCGUUGUAAUAAAGAGUCUACUGGAGGUAGAGCUACUGAUUGGAUGCGGGGGCUUCACCGCCUACCAAAUCCUGACAAACUCCGAAUGCCAGUAGUAUGAUUUACAGCAGUGAGUGACUGGGUGCUAAUGUCCAGUCGCAAAAGAGGAACAACUCAGACCAGCAACUAAGGUCCCGAAGAAUAUGCUAAGUUGAUCUAACGAUGUUUUGUUGCAGAGACAGCUAGGAUGUUAGCUUGGAAGCAGCUAUUCAUUCAAAGAGUGCGUAACAGCUCACUAGUCGAGCGACAGAGCGUGGAUAAUAAACGGGCAUCAAGCAUAUCACCGAAGUUCUGGGCGCGAGAGCGCGGUAGGGGAGCAUUCCAUUCAGCGUCGAAGCAGUUUCGUGAGGAAUUGUGGAGCGUAUGGAAAAGCAAAUGUAGGCAUGAGUAACGAUAAUGCGGGAGAGUAACCCGCACACCGCAAGACCAAGGUUUCCUGAUCAACGCUAAUCGGAUCAGGGUUAGUCGGGUCCUAAGGGUAAGCCGAACGGCGAUCUCGAUGGAUAAUCGGUUAAUAUUCCGAUACUGACAUAUACCUCGAUGGAGAGACGAAAUCGCGUAAGUACCGCCUCCUGACGGAAUAGGAGGUUAAAGGGCGUAUGUAUAGGGGCAGAUUAAGAGUCAGUCCUUGCUGAAACCCGACAGUACAGAGAGCCUACGGGCAAUUUGAUAGUGUACCCAAGCAUGUUUCCGAGAAAAUCUUCUAAGUUAUAGUAUAUGUCACCCGUACCGUAAACCGACACAGGUGGUCGAGGAGAGUAUCCUAAGGUGCUCGAGUGAAUCACGGUUAAGGAACUAGGCAAAUUAACCCCGUAACUUCGGGAAAAGGGGUCCCUAUGAAAGUAGGGCGCAGCGAAGAGGUCCAGGCGACUGUUUAUCAAAAACACAGGGCUCUGCAAAUUCGAAAGAAGACGUAUAGGGCCUGACACCUGCCCGGUGCUGGAAGGUUAAGAGGGGAUGUCAUCGCAAGAGAAGCAUUGAAUCGAAGCCCCAGUAAACGGCGGCCGUAACUAUAACGGUCCUAAGGUAGCGAAAUUCCUUGUCGGGUAAGUUCCGACCUGCACGAAUGGUGUAACGAUCUGGACACUGUCUCAACCGUGAGCUCGGUGAAAUUGUAGUCCCGGUGAUGAUGCCGGGUACCCGCAACGGGACGAAAAGACCCCGUGAACCUUUACUAUAGCUUAACGCUGAAUUUGGGUACACAAUGUGUAGGAUAGGCCGGAGGCUUUGAAGCGGGCACGCCAGUGUUCGUGGAGCCGACGUUGAAAUACGGCCCUUUGUGUAUUUGAGUUCUAACCCUGCGAAGGGGACACCGUUUGGUGGGUAGUUUGACUGGGGUGGUCGCCUCCAAAAGCGUAACGGAGGCUUCUAAAGGUGCCCUCACGACGAUUGGUAACCGUCGGCAGAGUGUAAUGGCAUAAGGGCGCUUGACUGGGAGACUAACAAGUCGAUCAGGUAGGAAACUAGAGCAUAGUGAUCCGGUGUUUCCGUAUGGAA